GGAGCGCAUUCACAAUUUUCAUUCAAACUGACACAGCCUGUGUGUCCCGGUUUGCACUCCCCACUAGCUCUCUCUUUCUCUCUACACACACACACACACACACAUACAGAGAAUGAGAAACACCAGACCGUCUGCAGUUAAGUUAAUAGCGGCUAGAGGAUGGCUUCAAGAAGAGUGAGAGACCGGGACGAGAAAACCUGAGGAGACUGGCGGAAGGGGUGAGAAUAGAAAGAGGAGGUAUGGAAUUCACAAAGAGAUGUCAGGGUGGAAGGUGAGUAGGGAGAGGACGAAGAGUUUUAAAAUAGAAGAGAAAAAGGGAGGUGGAGGAAUGCAUGGGGUUGGACGGCCGAGCUCGACGUAUGGAGGGGGCAGAGAUCGACUGGAGCCAGACUGGGUGUAUGCAUCUGAGAGAGUCACUGUGUUGGAUGCCUCACUAAAAGAGAAUUGAAACUGGCUGCUGUCCAAACUAAACAGACUGUGGAGACACGGCACUACUACCUGACAGCCAAGGUACCACCUGUUUGUCACGGCCAGCACACAUACUCCCACCACUCUCAUCCUCUUGUUUUCUCUCUUUUCCUCUCUAUCUCUCCCUGAGCUUUUGGCGUGCGUUCUGGAUGGGCAUCUUGGAGCAUCUGUGCCUGCCUGAGGCACUGGACUGUGGUAGAUGUGGGUCAGAGCUGUAAAUCCUGUGUGGUCUUGUACCAUAUACAGCCAUCGCAACUUCAAAAGACACAGCAAAGCCAGAUGCCAAGUGUUGAUGAUGGAUCGCAGGAGCAGCAUGCAAAAUAAUAAAGUCAAUAAUGAAGGUCAUAAGUCAACUUAAUGGUUUGUCUGGUGCUUGGCCCUCCCUUUCAUAACAGAAAUCCACAGCGGACGCAUCCAAGUGAGGAAAUUCCAGUUCAUUACUGCCACCUCCUGGUCAGAGUCUAAAAAGUCAUUUUUAGACACUUCACUGACAUCGUAAUACAUAACGUCUCAGAUGCGCAGUUUUACCCGAUGAAAAACAUCAAAUCAAGUGGCUUCCUCAAUCGCUGCUGGACAGCAAAACUUGUAAUCCAGAAGCACUGGAUCUCUAUUUGAGCUUUUAAAGGUGCACUUGGCAUAAUAAAACGCGAGGGCUGUGAGAACAGAGAGUGUUGACAGCCUGCAGUUGAAACAGUAUCUCACCCACUCACACUGAGGAGCUUUGAGGGCCGAGGGCUGUUAAAUGAGGAGGGAGAUAAUGAGAGAGAGGCAGCAGCAUGGUAAUCAGCAGGCCUCAAUUUCCUCACUGAUGCUCCAGAUUAGCCCAGCCUCACAGGCUCCCUUAGGCAUGUCUCAUCUUCUCUCGCCCCUCAGAGAACACUUUGGAUGAAAGGAAGAACUUCUCCAUCCAGUCUGCUGUCGAACCCCAUGCUGAGGCCACUGCGCAACACGCUGUUGAUAAUCAAGAGUUUUUUUUCAUUUUUUUUUUUCAUUUUCAAUUCAUUAUCUUUUCCAUUGCUUUCUGGUCCAUUAGCCACACUUUAUGCUCUAAAAUAAUUGUUUAUGUAACGUGUUCCUUGUGUUGUAUGUCUUCAAAUACACACCAUUGAUUUUAACUACAAUUUCCACAGCCUUACUGAAAGCAGAUGAAAAUUAGGUUUUGUUAUUACUGUUUGUGUCUUUGGAGGAGCUGUGUUGAAUAAAUCAACCACAAGUUAACAGGCAUCUUCAACCAAAAAUACUGCCAAUUAACAAAGAUCCUUCAUCAGCAUGAGGUAUACUAUAUUAUACCGUUCAAAGGUUUGAGGUCAGUUGCAUUUUUAUUUAAUGCUUUUGAUUAUAAAAAUGUUACUGACCUUAUUCUUGCCAGGGCUGCAUUUAUCUGAUAAAAAAAAUACAGUAAGGAUAGAAAUAUUGAGAGAUUUUUUUUUUAAUAACUUUAUGUCUACUACAUAUUCAAAAAUAAUUUAUUCCAAUGAUGGCAAAGCUAAAUUUUCAGCUACAUUUUCACAUGACCCUUCAGAAAUCAUUCUAAUAUGCUGAUUUGGUGCACAUAAAAAAAUUCUUAUUAUCAUCUAUGUUAAAAAUUGUGCUGCUUAAUCUUUUGUAAAAUAUCUUUUAUAUUUUGGUUUUCAUUUUGUUUUUGAUAAGCUUGUUUUUGACAUUACACUUGAUGUUUGUUCACGGAAAAUUGCUUAAGCUUUUUUCUUCCUCCAAAGGUUUUUUUUUAUCAUUAUUAUUAUUAUUUCCCAAUGAUGUCACAAUAACAGUACAUUGCCAAUAGCUUCUGAGCUUUUACUGUGAUCAAAGAAAUUUAACUUUUGGAUCCCCCCUGUGGCCUUUCGUGUAAUAACUAUUGCUAUUCUAGAAGAAAUGAAAUGCACAUUUCUAGAGUGCAGGUCUUUGUUCAUUUGCAAUGUACUGAUUGCCAAUAACCACUUUUAUUUUGGUUUUAAAAAUGUGUCUAAUUUAGAGGCAUUAUGAAGCAGCAAACUGAUCUAUAUGCCCUGAGAGGUGGAUGUGAGGCAUGGAAAGCAGCCAUUAUUUUCAUUUCAUCCUGUUUUGAAUGUGGCCAGGGAUGUGUGUCAGUGACAUCAUUUUGGCCACCGUUAACAGCAGUAAUUUGUCUCUGCCAUAAAGCUAUUUUUUAUCAAUAAUUUAAACAUUAUCUUUGAACUGUUACAUAUUAACAAUAUUUAAGAAAUAUAAAUUAUGUAAAUGGAUUACUUGUACCAGGAAAUCUGUACCAUAG
Molecule: long non-coding RNA, 2719 nt
Organism: Cyprinus carpio carpio
Lineage: Eukaryota; Metazoa; Chordata; Actinopteri; Cypriniformes; Cyprinidae
Source: Ensembl